RNAcentral lists this unclassified non-coding RNA (416 nucleotides) under uncultured bacterium. Its description in RNAcentral is "partial contains 16S ribosomal RNA, 16S-23S ribosomal RNA intergenic spacer, and 23S ribosomal RNA". The stretch from base 285 to 416 matches the Rfam family "Bacterial large subunit ribosomal RNA", at positions 1 to 131 of the family's 2925-position model. The record is from RNAcentral.
UGCGGCUGGAUCCCCUCCUUUCUAGAGAACUGGCAAGUUCCGGUACUCACAGCCUAUCGGUUGUUCCUGUGACUGAAUGUCAAUCAGAGUGCUUCAUUGAGCAUUGUGAUUCGCGUUUAGACGCAUUGAUCUUUAACAAACUGAAGAAGCCGAAAUACAAAGUGAACAGAUAGCCAGGGCGCUUGCGCUCUCGUUAGAAGUUCCGCUUUGGGUAGUUGUAUGUAUCGACGCUGGAUUCGCAGAGGUGCGAAUGCAGCGAGUGCGCAAGGCCUUUGAAAUGAUAGGGUCAAGCGACUAAGUGCAUCUGGUGGAUGCCUUGGCGAUCAUAGGCGAUGAAGGACGUGUAAGCCUGCGAAAAGCGCGGGGGAGCUGGCAAUAGAGCAUUGAUCCCGCGAUGUCCGAAUGGGGAAACCCGG